UUUAAGUGCAACCAUAAAUUUUCGCGUCCAACUUUAAUCAUCCGUCUUAUUUAAAAUUUUUUUAUAAUUAGUAUUUUUGUUGUUAUAAGAUGAUAAAACAUGAAUUGUACUUUACUCGUGACUUAUGUUUUAAUUUUUUUUAAAUAAGAUGGACAGUCAAAUUUGAGCGUGAAAAACCAUGGCUACACUUAAA
Non-coding RNA from Oryza meridionalis, 193 nucleotides. The record is from Rfam. Lineage: Eukaryota; Viridiplantae; Streptophyta; Magnoliopsida; Poales; Poaceae.